UACGUAGGGCGCAAGCGUUGUCCGGAAUUAUUGGGCGUAAAGAGCUCGUAGGCGGUCUGUCGCGUCUGCUGUGAAAUCCCGAGGCUCAACCUCGGGCUUGCAGUGGGUACGGGCAGACUAGAGUGCGGUAGGGGAGAAUGGAAUUCCUGGUGUAGCGGUGGAAUGCGCAGAUAUCAGGAGGAACACCGAUGGCGAAGGCAGUUCUCUGGCCGUAACUGACGCUGAGGAGCGAAAGCGUGGGGAGCGAACAGGAUUAGAUACCC
Molecule: ribosomal RNA, 263 nt
Filed under: uncultured Actinomycetales bacterium
Lineage: Bacteria; Bacillati; Actinomycetota; Actinomycetes; Actinomycetales
Description: partial 16S ribosomal RNA
Rfam family: Bacterial small subunit ribosomal RNA
Source: RNAcentral